CAUAAAUAUUCAUAACAAUAAACUCUGAUUCAAUAAAAACUAGACACUAGUCAAUACAUUCAUCGACUAACUGAAUAAGUCGACUCAUUUCCCCUGUUUUUUAGUCUUUUUGAGAAAAAUUCAAAAAUUUCAAUCAAUUCAUGGUUUUGUUCACCCUUUCACCAAAAAUUGAGUUGUUUUUUACACAUGUUAUCGAGUCGACUUACAACUUGUUAGACUUGUCCAAUUUUCAUUGACUGGCUAACUGAUGUGACUUGAUUGCCAUUUGAUUGUUUAUUUUAAUUGUUUUUGUUUAAUUUUUAUUUGUUAUGUGCUGAUAAGUCAACAUUUAAACACUUUGUGUACUCAGUGUUAUGAUCAAAAUUUAGGUUUUCUGUUUCUUUUGUGUUUUAAAAGUUUUUUGUUUUUAGGUGACAUUGUUAUUUAAUUUAGGACAAUCAAUUUCAAGCCACAAGGGACAAUCAAUCAAUUUUUUAAGCCAAUUAGUUAUUGUGUUACAAAUAUUGACUCACUUUCUAAGGUCGGAUUACAAUUUUGGUGUACAGUGGAGUACCAGAUACUGUCAGUAACUGGAAAUAGCUUAUAUGCACAGCAAGACUAUUAAUCGAGCUAAAAUUUAAAAUUAAUAACAAUGGUUAAUAAAAUUAAAGUCAGUUGCUAGAAAAGUCAUACAAACUAAUGUCAUUGUGCUGAGGAUCGUUAAUUGAGUUGAAUUUGUCAGAAAUAUUCAACUUUUUUGAUAAUUUCUUUAUCAUUUCAAUUAAAACUUUCCUUAUAGGCCUGUAAACAAAGGGUUUGAGGGGCUAUUGAAUAAUCUACUGACAUUAUCUGGUACUGACACUAUCUGGUACUCCACUGUAUAUAACAGCAACAAAACAAGUGAUGAACCCUAAUUACUACUCAUACAAUUUAAUUGCCUUGGGUGAUUUUCAUUUUCUGUUCUCAUUGUUUUAAAUUUAUUUUAUUAACAAUUAAUGUGCUUAUGUAACACUAUUCAACAUUCCACCUUUAACGAUAAUAAUAAAUUAUAAACAUUAAAUGUAAAUCUUGUUGAAACGUAAGUAGACUCAUAAACAAAACAAUAGCCCAAUGGCUUAUUAAUGCCAAUUAUUGGUUUGGUGUCAAUAAUAUUCCCUGUUAACCUUUUAAUGAUUAAAUUUUAUUGUUACAGCUAUUAAGGGUUAAUUUGUUUCAACAUCAUAAUAUUUCGGCAGCAAUUGCUAUCCAAGAACCACUAAAAUUUCUCAACUUAAUUGGAUCAUUUUUCUGCAUUUUAUAAAAAAAAGUCAUUGACUAUGAAUCAGUUUGUGUGGUAAAAUGAUCAAUAAUUUCAAUCCGAGUUUAAUCAAGACAUUCAAGCAAUCUUACAUCCGAAAUUCGCGCUCAAAUAGAUUUCAAUAAAGUGUUUAAAAAGCACAAUAGAUGGCAGUAGUUAGUUAGUCUCGCUAUUUUACCGGCAAUUUAAAGUUUAAACAUUUGAUCUUUCAGGCAACGAUUUUAUGUAACAUUGGCCUAACAUUAGUCUUAAAUGCUCAUCAAACCUAAUUGUUGAGAAGAUUUAGAUUCAGAUUUAUUUAGAUCAUUUUGGACACUUCCCUAGUUAGUCAAGUGGUAUUUCCCGAUAAUAUCUAAUUUGAUUCAAUCAUAACAUCUGUGACAAUCCAUUCGGUCUAUUGAACAAAUGGAAAUGGAUUUGGAAAAAAAUAAAUUAAAUAUUUUAU
Non-coding RNA from Tetranychus urticae (two-spotted spider mite), 1721 nucleotides. The record is from RefSeq and is a predicted model, not a curated record. NCBI's taxonomy places the organism in Eukaryota, Metazoa, Arthropoda, Arachnida, Trombidiformes, Tetranychidae.